This 148-nucleotide non-coding RNA is filed under the name Nomascus leucogenys (northern white-cheeked gibbon). Lineage: Eukaryota; Metazoa; Chordata; Mammalia; Primates; Hylobatidae. The record is from Rfam by way of RNAcentral.
GCCGGGCGUGGUGGUGCACACCUGUAGUCCCAGCUACUCGGGAGGCUGAAGCAGGAGAAUCACUUGAACCCAGGAGUCGGAGGUUGCAGUGCACCAAUAUCGUGCCACUGCACUCCAGCCUGGGUGACAAAGUGAGACUCUGUCUCAA